GCGGCGUGCUUAACACAUGCAAGUCGAACGGAAAGGCCCUGCUUUUGUGGGGUGCUCGAGUGGCGAACGGGUGAGUAACACGUGAGUAACCUGCCCUUGACUUUGGGAUAACUUCAGGAAACUGGGGCUAAUACCGGAUAGGAGCUCCUGCUGCAUGGUGGGGGUUGGAAAGUUUCGGCGGUUGGGGAUGGACUCGCGGCUUAUCAGCUUGUUGGUGGGGUAGUGGCUUACCAAGGCUUUGACGGGUAGCCGGCCUGAGAGGGUGACCGGCCACAUUGGGACUGAGAUACGGCCCAGACUCCUACGGGAGGCAGCAGUGGGGAAUAUUGCACAAUGGGCGGAAGCCUGAUGCAGCAACGCCGCGUGCGGGAUGACGGCCUUCGGGUUGUAAACCGCUUUCGCCUGUGACGAAGCGUGAGUGACGGUAAUGGGUAAAGAAGCACCGGCUAACUACGUGCCAGCAGCCGCGGUGGUACGUAGGGUGCGAGCGUUGUCCGGAUUUAUUGGGCGUAAAGGGCUCGUAGGUGGUUGAUCGCGUCGGAAGUGUAAUCUUGGGGCUUAACCCUGAGCGUGCUUUCGAUACGGGUUGACUUGAGGAAGGUAGGGGAGAAUGGAAUUCCUGGUGGAGCGGUGGAAUGCGCAGAUAUCAGGAGGAACACCAGUGGCGAAGGCGGUUCUCUGGGCCUUUCCUGACGCUGAGGAGCGAAAGCGUGGGGAGCGAACAGGCUUAGAUACCCUGGUAGUCCACGCUGUAAACGGUGGGUACUAGGUGUGGGGUCCAUUCCACGGGUUCCGUGCCGUAGCUAACGCUUUAAGUACCCCGCCUGGGGAGUACGGCCGCAAGGCUAAAACUCAAAGGAAUUGACGGGGCCCCGCACAAGCGGCGGAGCAUGCGGAUUAAUUCGAUGCAACGCGUAGAACCUUACCUGGGUUUGACAUGGAUCGGGAGUGCUCAGAGAUGGGUGUGCCUCUUUUGGGGUCGGUUCACAGGUGGUGCAUGCCUGUCGUCAGCUCGUGUCGUGAGAUGUUGGGUUAAGUCCCGCAACGAGCGCAACCCUUGUUCACUGUUGCCAGCACGUUAUGGUGGGGACUCAGUGGAGACCGCCGGGGUCAACUCGGAGGAAGGUGGGGAUGACGUCAAGUCCUCAUGCCCCUUAUGUCCAGGGCUUCACGCAUGCUACAAUGGCUGGUACAGAGAGUGGCGAGCCUGUGAGGGUGAGCGAAUCUCGGAAAGCCGGUCUCAGUUCGGAUUGGGGUCUGCAACUCGACCUCAUGAAGUCGGAGUCGCUAGUAAUCGCAGAUCAGCAACGCUGCGGUGAAUACGUUCCCGGGGCUUGUACACACCGCCCGUCAAGUCAUGAAAGUUGGUAACACCCGAAGCCGGUGGCCUAACCGUUGUGGGGGAGCCGUCGAAGGUGGGACUGGUGAUUAGG
This 1433-nucleotide ribosomal RNA is filed under the name uncultured organism. RNAcentral's name for it is "16S ribosomal RNA". It matches the Rfam family "Bacterial small subunit ribosomal RNA". The record is from RNAcentral.